This 444-nucleotide ribosomal RNA is filed under the name Veillonellaceae bacterium oral taxon 155. Its description in RNAcentral is "bacterial SSU rRNA". It matches the Rfam family "Bacterial small subunit ribosomal RNA", at positions 28 to 463 of the family's 1533-position model. Lineage: Bacteria; Bacillati; Bacillota; Negativicutes; Veillonellales; Veillonellaceae. The record is from RNAcentral.
GACGAACGCUGGCGGCGUGCUUAACACAUGCAAGUCGAACGGAGCUAUUUAUUUCGGUAGAUAGCUUAGUGGCAAACGGGUGAGUAACGCGUAGGCAACCUGCCCUCAGGAUGGGGACAACGGCUCGAAAGAGCCGCUAAUACCGAAUGACGUAACUCUUCCACAUGGAAGAGAUACUAAAGAUGGGUCAAACCAUCGCCUAAGGAUGGGCCUGCGUCUGAUUAGCCAGUUGGUGAGGUAACGGCUCACCAAAGCGACGAUCAGUAGCCGGUCUGAGAGGAUGAACGGCCACAAUGGGACUGAGACACGGCCCAUACUCCUACGGGAGGCAGCAGUGGGGAAUCUUCCGCAAUGGGCGAAAGCCUGACGGAGCAACGCCGCGUGAGUGAAGAAGGUCUUCGGAUCGUAAAGCUCUGUUGUCGGGGACGAAAGAGUAGACGAGGA